GAUGUGGUGUCAAGAGCACGGUUUGUCC
This 28-nucleotide non-coding RNA is filed under the name Homo sapiens (human). Lineage: Eukaryota; Metazoa; Chordata; Mammalia; Primates; Hominidae. The record is from RNAcentral.